CCCGGGCUCAACCUGGGAACUGCAUUCGAAACUGGCAGGCUAGAGUCUUGUAGAGGGGGGUAGAAUUCCAGGUGUAGCGGUGAAAUGCGUAGAGAUCUGGAGGAAUACCGGUGGCGAAGGCGGCCCCCUGGACAAAGACUGACGCUCAGGUGCGAAAGCGUGGGGAGCAAACAGGAUUAGAUACCCUGGUAGUCCACGCCGUAAACGAUGUCGAUUUGGAGGUUGUGCCCUUGAGGCGUGGCUUCCGGAGCUAACGCGUUAAAUCGACCGCCUGGGGAGUACGGCCGCAAGGUUAAAACUCAAAUGAAUUGACGGGGGCCCGCACAAGCGGUGGAGCAUGUGGUUUAAUUCGAUGCAACGCGAAGAACCUUACCUGGUCUUGACAUCCACAGAACUUUCCA
RNAcentral lists this ribosomal RNA (401 nucleotides) under Klebsiella pneumoniae subsp. pneumoniae. RNAcentral's name for it is "bacterial SSU rRNA". It matches the Rfam family "Bacterial small subunit ribosomal RNA", at positions 602 to 1002 of the family's 1533-position model. Lineage: Bacteria; Pseudomonadati; Pseudomonadota; Gammaproteobacteria; Enterobacterales; Enterobacteriaceae. The record is from RNAcentral.